AAAAGAUAUCGAUUUUGAAAUAAUGAAUUUCUAAUUUUAAAAUAUAAUAUUUUGAACCUACUCUUAAAAGAAAACAAGUCUGCGUAAAGAGUGUCUCUUUCGAAAACGACGAUCCCAAAUGAGACUCCUCUCUUGCACUUCCGUUUCCGACAACGUCUUUUCCGUCACAGCCGCAUUUCGUCACCUCCAACCCAGUUCGCUGUUGUCUCUGUCGUUCAAGAGGAACCCUAAAUCCGAUUUCGCCUCUGUCAAAUCCGCCGGUAAUUGAAAGUGUAAGUCCUAAAUCUAUGCAAUUCUAAGUUUUUAUGACAUAUUCUUAACAUGUAUUCUCAUUCCAUCGACUUUGAUAUCAAGUAAUCGGUUUUUGUUUUUAAUUUUGCUAUUCACUGUUUAUUUUUGUUAGCUCUAGUUUCCAGUUCGAUAACUCCUUCAAGUUUGAAUACAAAAGAUCGGUUCUGGGUUUUUCAUAAGUUUGAGUAUGCUUUUUGAUACCUAUUUUAAUAUAUUUUUAUUUUUACAAAUGCAUGUUGCCUCUUUGAUUGCGGUUUACGCCAACUGGGGGCUUACAAAGGUUAGAGGCAUCCGAUGGGCUUAGGAAGCUGCACACACACUGGGGACAUGUGGAAUCAGUAGUGGGUCUAGUUACAAAGUCAUGGUCUCCACCUUUUUUAUCGAAACUUUAUAGAAUCUGAAUUGGAUUGAAGCAGAACUUUAAGUGUAAUGGAGGUUGGACUGUUCGAGGACGAUAGCUUCUGAAGCAAGAAACAGCUCCAGGCAAAUUCUUUAGCAGACAGAGCUUCUUGAAAUUGGUGUAGAUUACUAUGGUUUCUGAUAAUGUUCGUGGGUAUAGUUACAAAGUUAAGAAGCAGUGAUUUAGUUUGUUUCCAAUCACUUCUGUUUUGUGUUUGGUCCAUUAGUAAACUUUCAAGUAGUGAAAAGGUUAAAAAGUCUGGUAUGUACUCAGUUUUGACAAUGGAAUUUUGUUCCAGUUCAGAGUAAACUAUUUGGUCAAGGUUUAAGAACAAGUUUUGGUUUGGUA
Long non-coding RNA from Brassica napus (rape), 1039 nucleotides. RefSeq lists it as uncharacterized. The transcript has 2 exons. The record is from RefSeq and is a predicted model, not a curated record. Lineage: Eukaryota; Viridiplantae; Streptophyta; Magnoliopsida; Brassicales; Brassicaceae.